RNAcentral lists this ribosomal RNA (301 nucleotides) under uncultured bacterium. Its description in RNAcentral is "partial 16S ribosomal RNA". It matches the Rfam family "Bacterial small subunit ribosomal RNA", at positions 509 to 808 of the family's 1533-position model. The record is from RNAcentral.
CAGCAGCCGCGGGAAUACGUAGGUCCCGAGCGUUGUCCGGAUUUAUUGGGCAUAAAGCGAGCGCAGGCGGUUAGAUAAGUCUGAAGUUAAAGGCCGUGGCUUAACCAUAGUACGCUUUGGAAACUGUUUAACUUGAGUGCAAGAGGGGAGAGUGGAAUUCCAUGUGUAGCGGUGAAAUGCGUAGAUAUAUGGAGGAACACCGGUGGCGAAAGCGGCUCUCUGGCUUGUAACUGACGCUGAGGCUCGAAAGCGUGGGGAGCAGACAGGAUUAGAUACCCGCGUAGUCCCUGUCUCUUAUACA